AUCCUAGCCGUAAACGAUGUCAACUAGCUGUGGGAGGUAUCGACCCCUCCCGUGGCGACGCUAACGCAUUAAGUUGACCGCCUGGGGAGUACGGCCGCAAGGUUAAAACUCAAAGGAAUUGACGGGGCCCGCACAAGCGGUGGAGCAUGUGGUUUAAUUCGACGCUACGCGAAGAACCUUACCUGGGCUCGAACGACUGGUAGUAGUCCGGUAGAAAUACUGGGCGACCCGCAAGGGAGCCAGCCGAGGUGCUGCAUGGUUGUCGU
Molecule: ribosomal RNA, 266 nt
Filed under: uncultured bacterium
Lineage: Bacteria
Description: partial 16S ribosomal RNA
Rfam family: Bacterial small subunit ribosomal RNA
Source: RNAcentral